This 713-nucleotide ribosomal RNA is filed under the name uncultured endophytic bacterium. RNAcentral's name for it is "bacterial SSU rRNA". It matches the Rfam family "Bacterial small subunit ribosomal RNA", at positions 771 to 1505 of the family's 1533-position model. The record is from RNAcentral.
AACAGGAUUAGAUACCCUGGUAGUCCACGCCGUAAACGAUGCAUAUUAUUCGUAUGGAGUAUCGACCCUCUGUGCGGAGAAGCUAACGCGAUAAAUAUGCCGCCUGGGGAGUACGAGCGCAAGCUUAAAACUCAAAGGAAUUGACGGGGCUCCGCACAAGCAGUGGAUUAUGUGGUUUAAUGCGAUGCUACGCGCAGAACCUUACCGAGGCUUGACAUCCCGAUCACACCCCUGUGAAAGCAGGGGGUCAGUUCGGCUGGAUCGGUGACAGAUGUUGCAUGGCCGCCGUCAGCUCGUGUCGUGAGAUGUUGGGUUAAGUCCCGCAACGAGCGCAACCCUUGUCGUGUGUUGUAUUUUUCACGCGAGACCGCCCGGGCCAACCGGGAGGAAGGUGGGGAUGACGUCAGGUCCGCAUGGCUCUUACGCCUCGGGCUACACACGUAAUACAAUGGCCGGUACAACGGGUCGCUAAAUCGCGAGAUGGAGCUAAUCCCAUCAAAACCGGUCCCAGUUCGGAUUGCAGGCUGCAACUCGCCUGCAUGAAGUUGGAAUUGCUAGUAACCGUGGGUCGGCAUACCACGGUGAAUACGUUCCCGGAGCUUGUACACACCGCCCGUCAAGUCACGAAAAUUGGGAGUACCCGACGUGCCUACUUUGCUAGGCCCUAAGGUAAAUCCAGUAAUUGGGACUAAGUCGUAACAAGGUAACCGUAA